UACGAAGGGGGCUAGCGUUGCUCGGAAUCACUGGGCGUAAAGCGCACGUAGGCGGAUUGCUAAGUCAGGGGUGAAAUCCUGGAGCUCAACUCCAGAACUGCCUUUGAUACUGGCGACCUUGAGUCCGGGAGAGGUGAGUGGAACUGCGAGUGUAGAGGUGAAAUUCGUAGAUAUCAAGCGGAACACCGGUGGCGAAGGCGGCCUUCUGGACAGUGACUGACGCUGAGACGCGAAAGCGUGGGGAGCAAACAGG
This 253-nucleotide ribosomal RNA is filed under the name uncultured bacterium. Its description in RNAcentral is "partial 16S ribosomal RNA". It matches the Rfam family "Bacterial small subunit ribosomal RNA", at positions 524 to 776 of the family's 1533-position model. The record is from RNAcentral.